CCUACGGGUGGCAGCAGUGAGGAAUAUUGGUCAAUGGACGCAAGUCUGAACCAGCCAUGCCGCGUGCAGGAAGACGGCUCUAUGAGUUGUAAACUGCUUUUGUACGAGGGUAAACGCAGAUACGCGUAUCUGUCUGAAAGUAUCGUACGAAUAAGGCUCGGCUAACUCCGGGCCAGCAGCCGCGGUAAUACGGAGGAUGCAAGCGUUAUCCGGAUUUAUUGGGUUUAAAGGGUGCGUAGGCGGUCGGAUAAGUUAGAGGUGAAAUCCCGAGGCUCAACUUCGGAAUUGCAUCUGAUACUGUUCGGCGAGAGAGUAGUUGCGGUAGGCGGAAUGCAUGGUGUAGCGGUGAAAUGCUUAGAGAUCAUACAGAACACCGAUUGCGAAGGCAGCUUACCAGGCUACUUCUGACGUUGAGGCACGAAAGCGUGGGGAGCAAACAGGAUUAGAUACCCGUGUAGUC
This 460-nucleotide ribosomal RNA is filed under the name uncultured bacterium. Its description in RNAcentral is "partial 16S ribosomal RNA". It matches the Rfam family "Bacterial small subunit ribosomal RNA", at positions 338 to 795 of the family's 1533-position model. The record is from RNAcentral.